Molecule: ribosomal RNA, 305 nt
Filed under: uncultured bacterium
Lineage: Bacteria
Description: bacterial SSU rRNA
Rfam family: Bacterial small subunit ribosomal RNA
Source: RNAcentral
CCUACGGGGGCAGCAGUGGGGAAUAUUGCACAAUGGGGGAAACCCUGAUGCAGCAACGCCGCGUGAGUGAAGAAGUAUUUCGGUAUGUAAAGCUCUAUCAGCAGGGAAGAAGAUGACGGUACCUGACCAAGAAGCCCCGGCUAAAUACGUGCCAGCAGCCGCGGUAAUACGUAUGGUGCAAGCGUUAUCCGGAUUUACUGGGUGUAAAGGGAGCGCAGGCGGCACGGCAAGCCUGAUGUGAAAGCCCGCGGCCCAACCGCGGGACUGCAUUGGGAACUACCGGGCUGGAGUGCCGGAGAGGUAGG